RNAcentral lists this ribosomal RNA (500 nucleotides) under uncultured bacterium. RNAcentral describes it as "partial 16S ribosomal RNA". It matches the Rfam family "Bacterial small subunit ribosomal RNA", at positions 28 to 507 of the family's 1533-position model. The record is from RNAcentral.
GACGAACGCUGGCGGCGUGCCUAAUACAUGCAAGUCGUGCGGACCUUGUUGAAAGCUUGCUUUUAAAAGGUUAGCGGCGGACGGGUGAGUAACACGUGGGCAACCUGCCUGUAAGACUGGGAUAACGCCGGGAAACCGGGGCUAAUACCAGAUCGUUUUUUCCUCCGCAUGGAGGAAAAAGGAAAGGCGGCUUCGGCUGCCACUUACAGAUGGGCCCGCGGCGCAUUAGCUAGUUGGCGGGGUAAUGGCCCACCAAGGCAACGAUGCGUAGCCGACCUGAGAGGGUGAUCGGCCACAUUGGGACUGAGACACGGCCCAAACUCCUACGGGAGGCAGCAGUAGGGAAUCUUCCGCAAUAGACGAAAGUCUGACGGAGCAACGCCGCGUGAGGGAAGAAGGCCUUCGGGUCGUAAAACUCUGUUGCCGGGGAAGAACAAGUGCCGUUCGAACAGGGCGGCGCCUUGACGGUACCCGGCCAGAAAGCCACGGCUAACUACGUG